Molecule: unclassified non-coding RNA, 374 nt
Filed under: Hevea brasiliensis (rubber tree)
Lineage: Eukaryota; Viridiplantae; Streptophyta; Magnoliopsida; Malpighiales; Euphorbiaceae
Source: RNAcentral
AACUAAACUACAGCAAUGAAAAAUUUACAACAAAGCACAACACACCUCUCAAAAAUUGCUAUUAGAAGCACAAAACAGAAAGCCACAUAUUUUGAAACCUGUCUUGUCAAGUUACAAUGAGCUACAACACAUCUUACUUUUUGCUGGAAUUUCUUGUCCGGGGCCUGGAAUGAUGAUUUUCUUGCCCGCCAGGGAUGCAGGGUUACCAUUAGUUUGAUUUUCACCAGCAGUUAGAGUCUUCUUGUUUACAAUAUUAAAGAUCUCUGUCAACACAGUCAAGAAUGCAUUCUCGACAUUAGUCGCUUCCAAUGCAGAUGUCUCUAAGAAGAACAAUCCUUCCUUCUGGGCAAAUUCCUUAGCAUCUUCAGUGGGGA